This 373-nucleotide ribosomal RNA is filed under the name uncultured organism. Its description in RNAcentral is "partial 16S ribosomal RNA". It matches the Rfam family "Bacterial small subunit ribosomal RNA", at positions 527 to 896 of the family's 1533-position model. The record is from RNAcentral.
GUAGGUGGCAAGCGUUGUCCGGAAUUAUUGGGCGUAAAGCGCGCGCAGGCGGUUCUUUAAGUCUGAUGUGAAAGCCCACGGCUCAACCGUGGAGGGUCAUUGGAAACUGGAGAACUUGAGUACAGAAGAGGAAAGCGGAAUUCCACGUGUAGCGGUGAAAUGCGUAGAGAUGUGGAGGAACACCAGUGGCGAAGGCGGCUUUCUGGUCUGUAACUGACGCUGAGGCGCGAAAGCGUGGGGAGCAAACAGGGAUUAGAUACCCUGGUAGUCCACGCCGUAAACGAUGAGUUCUAAGUGUUAGGGGGUUUCCCGCCCCUUAGUGCUGCAGCUAACGCAUUAAGCACUCCGCCUGGGGAGUACGGCCGCAAGGCUG